RNAcentral lists this transfer RNA (86 nucleotides) under Penicillium nalgiovense. RNAcentral describes it as "tRNA-Gln". It matches the Rfam family "tRNA". From Rfam's summary of the family: Transfer RNA (tRNA) molecules are approximately 80 nucleotides in length. Their secondary structure includes four short double-helical elements and three loops (D, anti-codon, and T loops). Further hydrogen bonds mediate the characteristic L-shaped molecular structure. tRNAs have two regions of fundamental functional importance: the anti-codon, which is responsible for specific mRNA codon recognition, and the 3' end, to which the tRNAs corresponding amino acid is attached (by aminoacyl-tRNA synthetases). tRNAs cope with the degeneracy of the genetic code in two manners: having more than one tRNA (with a specific anti-codon) for a particular amino acid; and 'wobble' base-pairing, i.e. permitting non-standard base-pairing at the 3rd anti-codon position. Lineage: Eukaryota; Fungi; Ascomycota; Eurotiomycetes; Eurotiales; Aspergillaceae. The record is from RNAcentral.
CUGGUUCUGUAGUGUAGUGGUCAUCACUCUGGUUUUUGAAAUGAUUGAAGUACCAGAAACCCCGGUUCGAACCCGGGCAGGACCUU